UUUUUUGGAUGUACAACUUAUAUUUUUGGGGUUUUUAUAAUUAAUAAUAAUAAGAGCAUAGCUACUAUAUUAUCGGAAGCAUAGAGGGUCUGGUACUUCCGACUUUUUGAUUUUUUUUUUUUAAAAGAAGGUAGCAUGCUACCGCUUCAUUUAUAAAGAGUUUGAACUUAGCAAUUACGAAAAGCAACUAGGCUUCUACAGGAACGGAGCAAAAAAAAAAAAAAAAAAAAACUAGAUGCAAUUGGAGGGACUUUUUGACUAUUAAAUCAGUCUCUUUGAUCAUUUCUAAUCUUUAGAUUAAUACUGUUAUCCUAUGGAGACCACUCAACUCUAGGAGAGACCGCAAUCGUUCUAAUCGUAGAAUUUUUGAUCCAAGGAUCAAAAAAUCAAAAGCAUCAAAUUCUCUAUACUUUCAAUAGUAUAGUAGCUCUACACUGAAAAUAAUAUCCUGAUGUAUCUAUAUGAGUGGUCAUAGUCUUAUUUUACAAUUUUUUUUUUAAAA
Molecule: long non-coding RNA, 502 nt
Filed under: Ananas comosus (pineapple)
Lineage: Eukaryota; Viridiplantae; Streptophyta; Magnoliopsida; Poales; Bromeliaceae
Description: long non-coding RNA (ACOM_LNC039574)
Source: RNAcentral